UAAACUGGGGAUUAGAUACCCCACUAUGCUCAACCUUAAACAACGAUGACAAUAUACAAAUAUCAUCCGCCAGGGGACUACGAGCGUUAGCUUAAAACCCAAAGGACUUGGCGGUGCCUCAAACCCACCUAGAGGAGCCUGUUCUAUAACCGAUAAUCCACGUUAAACCUCACCAUCCCUUGCCUAAACCGCCUAUAUACCGCCGUCGCCAGCUUGCCUCUUGAGAGAUUAAAAGCAAGCCUAAUGGGUUCUACCCAAAACGUCAGGUCGAGGUGUAGCGAAUGAGAUGGAAUGAAAUGGGCUACAUUUUCCGGUACAGAAAAACACGAAAAGUGCCAUGAAAUAAGCACGACUGAAGGUGGAUUUAGCAGUAAAAAGAAAAUAGAGAGUUCUUUUGAAACCGGCUCUGAGGCGCGUACACACCGCCCGCCCGUCACCCUCA
Molecule: ribosomal RNA, 442 nt
Filed under: Anguilla marmorata (giant mottled eel)
Lineage: Eukaryota; Metazoa; Chordata; Actinopteri; Anguilliformes; Anguillidae
Description: partial 12S ribosomal RNA
Rfam family: Bacterial small subunit ribosomal RNA
Source: RNAcentral